UACGUAGGUCGCAAGCGUUGUCCGGAUUUACUGGGCGUAAAGAGCGCGCAGGCGGCUGGUCAAGUCCGAUGUGAAAUCUCCCGGCUCAACUGGGAAACUGCAUCGGAAACUGAUCGGCUUGAAGAUGGGAGAGGGUAGUGGAAUUCCCGGUGUAGUGGUGAAAUUCGUAGAUAUUCGCAAGAACACCAGUGGCGAAGGCGGCUCACUGGCCCGAUACUGACGCUGAGGCGCGAAAGCGUGGGGAGCAAACAGG
RNAcentral lists this ribosomal RNA (253 nucleotides) under uncultured bacterium. RNAcentral's name for it is "partial 16S ribosomal RNA". It matches the Rfam family "Bacterial small subunit ribosomal RNA", at positions 524 to 776 of the family's 1533-position model. The record is from RNAcentral.